This 74-nucleotide transfer RNA is filed under the name Caenorhabditis elegans. RNAcentral describes it as "tRNA-His". The stretch from base 8 to 62 matches the Rfam family "tRNA", at positions 10 to 63 of the family's 71-position model. Rfam says of the family: Transfer RNA (tRNA) molecules are approximately 80 nucleotides in length. The record is from RNAcentral. Lineage: Eukaryota; Metazoa; Nematoda; Chromadorea; Rhabditida; Rhabditidae.
UACUACUAUACAGUGGUUAGUACUCCACGUUGUGGCCGUGGCGACGCUGGUUCGAUUCCAGCAGCAGGCAACUC